AUGACCUUCAUCAGCAUCUUCAUCUGGAUGUUAACUUGUUUCUGUUUCAGAGAAUCAAGAGGUGAAGUGACCGUCAUUCAGACACCUGCAGUCAAAUCUGUUCAUCUACGAGACACAGUUACUAUCACCUGUAAAACUAACCCUGGAGUCUUUGAGAGCUCAGGUUAUCACUUUCUGUCCUGGUAUCAUCAGAAACCUGGAGAAGCUCCUAAACUCCUGAUAUAUGCUGCAAGCACCCUUCAGUCUGGAACUCCAUCAAGAUUCAGUGGCAGUGGAUCAAAAACAGAUUUUACUCUGAGCAUCAGUGAAGUUCAGACUGAAGAUGAAGGAGAUUAUUACUGUAUGAGUGCACACUAUAUCAGUGGCUGGGUGUUCACACAGUGA
Non-coding RNA from Misgurnus anguillicaudatus (oriental weatherfish), 384 nucleotides. Lineage: Eukaryota; Metazoa; Chordata; Actinopteri; Cypriniformes; Cobitidae. The record is from the annotation of a RefSeq genome assembly.